CCUUCGAUAGCUCAGUUGGUAGAGCGGUGGACUGUAGUUGGCUCGAUUAACGCGGUGAAAAGAAAGAGACAUCCAUAGGUCGCUGGUUCAAAUCCGGCUCGAAGGA
RNAcentral lists this transfer RNA (106 nucleotides) under Bombus terrestris (buff-tailed bumblebee). RNAcentral's name for it is "misc RNA ENSBTSG00005035835.1". It matches the Rfam family "tRNA". From Rfam's summary of the family: Transfer RNA (tRNA) molecules are approximately 80 nucleotides in length. Their secondary structure includes four short double-helical elements and three loops (D, anti-codon, and T loops). Lineage: Eukaryota; Metazoa; Arthropoda; Insecta; Hymenoptera; Apidae. The record is from RNAcentral.